ACGGGAGUUUUUAACUCAAGUGGCGGACGGGUGAGUAACACGUAAGAAUUUACCUUUAGGAGGGGGAUAACAACUGGAAACGGUUGCUAAUACCCCAUAUGCUUUCGAGUGAAAUGGAUUUUUCCGCCUAAAGAGGAGCUUGCGGCUGAUUAGCUUGUUGGUGAGGUAAUGGCUCACCAAGGCGACGAUCAGUAUCUGGUUUGAGAGGACGAUCAGACACACUGGAACUGAGACACGGUCCAGACUCCUACGGGAGGCAGCAGUGGGGAAUUUUCCGCAAUGGGCGAAAGCCUGACGGAGCAAUACCGCGUGAGGGAUGACGGCCUAUGGGUUGUAAACCUCUUUUUUCAGGGAGGAAUCAAUGACGUGUACCUGAAGAAUAAGCAUCGGCUAACUCCGUGCCAGCAGCCGCGGUAAGACGGAGGAUGCAAGUGUUAUCCGGAAUCACUGGGCGUAAAGCGUCUGUAGGUGGUCUAGUAAGUCAACUGUUAAAUCUUGAGGCUCAACUUCAAAAUCGCAGUCGAAACUAUUAGACUAGAGUAUAGUAGGGGUAAAGGGAAUUUCCAGUGGAGCGGUGAAAUGCGUAGAGAUUGGAAAGAACACCGAUGGCGAAGGCACUUUACUGGGCUAUUACUGACACUGAGAGACGAAAGCUAGGGUAGCAAAUGGGAUUAGAUACCCCAGUAGUCCUAGCCGUAAACAAUGGAUACUAGAUGUUGAACAGAUCGACCUGUGCAGU
Molecule: ribosomal RNA, 739 nt
Filed under: uncultured Navicula
Lineage: Eukaryota; Bacillariophyta; Bacillariophyceae; Naviculales; Naviculaceae
Description: bacterial SSU rRNA
Rfam family: Bacterial small subunit ribosomal RNA
Source: RNAcentral